This 563-nucleotide ribosomal RNA is filed under the name Rhodella violacea. Its description in RNAcentral is "partial Bacterial large subunit ribosomal RNA". It matches the Rfam family "Bacterial large subunit ribosomal RNA", at positions 17 to 533 of the family's 2925-position model. The record is from RNAcentral. Lineage: Eukaryota; Rhodophyta; Rhodellophyceae; Rhodellales; Rhodellaceae.
GCGAUCGGUGGAUGCCUUGGCACCAAGAGCCGAUGAAGGACGUUGGAGCCUGCGAUAAGCCUCGGGGAGUUGGCAACCGAAUUGUGAUCCGAGGAUUUCCGAAUGGGGGAACCCGGCUGGAGUCAUGUCCAGUCACCGCCGCCUGAAUAUAUAGGGCGGAUGGAGGGCACGUGGGGAAGUGAAACAUCUCAGUACCCACAGGAAGAGAAAACAACAGUGAUUCCGUCAGUAGUGGCGAGCGAACGCGGAUCAGGCUAAACCGGUGGUGUGUGAUACCUGGUAGGGGUUGCACCAUCGGGGUCGUGGGACUUCAUGGACCGGUCUACCAGCUGGUCGGGGAGUAAGAAAUCACAGGUGUAGUCGAAGGGUCUUGAAAGGCCCGGCGCAGAGGGUGUUACCCCCGUAGACGAAACGCCUGUGACUUCCUUGUGAGGGAUCCCAAGUAGCACCGGACCCGUGAAAUCCGGUGUGAAUCUGGCAGGACCACCUGCUAAGCCUAAAUACUCCUUGGUGACCGAUAGCGGACAAGUACCGUGAGGGAAAGGUGAAAAGUACCCCGGGAG